UGUCUCUGGAAGUGGAGUAUCAUAAGGGACAUAAAAGCACACUUGUGAUCUUUGAAUGGCAAGAAAUAAAAGGCACAUCAGAGCUGAAGAGCAGCGACAAGAAAACGCUAUAGAAAGCUACUGUAGCACGCUUUACGGACAUGAGUGCUGAAGUAAACACAGUGCUCGACAUAUCAGAAAUCAUUUCUACCACUCAGCCAUCAAAGAGAGCACAUGGAUCCAAAGUAGAGCGACUGAAUGAGGGAUGGAAAGAGAAAAAGGUUGAAGAGUUGAAGAGGGAGGGUGCGUGGGGGGGAAAGGCACGACGCAGAGUGGCGAAUGAACACCAUGGUUGUACGAGGUUGGCACAGUGCCAUCCACUCAGCGGUGGUGCCAAAAAGGGUGUGUAGGCAGGGUGGCAUUACAGAGGAGAGAGGAGGAGAGACAGAUAGUGAGAGAAAAGAGAGGCAUCACCUUCCUGUCAAUUCUCCAAAGGAAAUGUUCCCGAGCAUCAAAAGUUGGAGUUCUUUGAAGAUCCGUCCGCCAGCUCGUCAGCAUGGCAACUCUACGAAAAAGCGCAGAUCUCUUCGCCAAGACCUUUUCAUUUUGGUUCCUGCAGGCUUCGCCAUCCUGCGUUUUACCGUCUCCUUCGUGACCGUGCCAGGCUCCAAGUAGGCACGUCCCCUAGAGAGUAAGCAGCACAUGCCCUGGUGUCGAUGCCACUCGACGCGGGUACGAUGGCAUCUGCUUUGUCAUAAUGGAGAUAUGCGACUUGUCUUGUUAUUCUCGUUGGCAAGCACCAACCUUCGGCAGAGUGCCAGGAUCUCUGCGUCGCCGUAUGCCGCUGGGAAGUUGGCGGUGGCUUGGGAAUGGCAGAGUGCCAGCAUGUUCCUGCGGUAACCAGCCCCCGACGCGUGCCACUUGGCAAAGACAAAGAGCCCUAGGGACGAAAUACAAAACAAGAUUGAAAAACACAGUGAUCCGACAGCUUAAUUAACACUCACAGAGUUUGUUGGGUUAAUUAGUGUGACAGAUUUGGUGAGGAGGAAUGUGGCAGGAACACUUGUGAGAACAAAAGUGAUGGGCAACCCAGACUGAAGGAAUGUCAGCCGAUGCCAGCGAUACGCAUGCCAGCAGUAACUCCACCGACUCUGUGCCGAUGGCACUUUAUAUUCAACAGGGCUUGUAAUAAGGAAAAAUGGAAAGAAAAGGAAGAAUCAUAAACAGUCUGCUGUUCAAAAACUAGUUUGUUGGACAAGACAGAAGAGGAAACAACUGUGGAUCUAAGCAAACAGGGAGGAGCUAAAGAAACCACAGGCCUUGACUAACCCUUCAGUGACUCAACAGAUUGAUCAAAACGCUAAGUCAUUAUGGAAUAUGGCUUUUAUCUAUUUCAAAAACAAAAAAGAAUGGUUUGCACUAAUGAACUACUUUUCUACUUUUUGUAGUACGUCGGGAACACCAAAAGGAUAUAUGCUGCCGGGUGUUAACAUGGUGAACUUUACCAGGAGGAUGCACUACUUUUGCAGUUUUACAGAGUUUUCCAAAAGCAAGGAGAGGAUCUUAAACCACAAUAUGCACAGUAAUGAGUGACUUUGUACUUGAAUACUAGUCCGAAACUUCCUGUUGAGUCAGAGAGAAGAGGAUGCCGCUCAGAGAGUGAGUGAGAGAAUUCAGUCCCUCACUGGAUGCGUUUGACAUUGUAGAGGAGUAUAAAUAAUGCAGAUUUUCUCUCCUCCUCUUCCUUCUCAAGCUUUCCGAAGGAAGGGAUUUACACACCUUUGUGCUUUGAAUCCUUCGUUGGCAUCAGUCUCGUUAAGCGAAGCAGGAUUGGUUCCGAAAUGGGCAUUGUCUUCAUCUAGCCUUCGAUAAACAAGUUCAAAUUAGACGUUAAUAACCUCGCGAAAUGGGCUGUUUAAUUUGCGGUUCCUGUUGUUUUUUUGCUUUUACGUCUUUCUUUGUACCGAUUGCGGACAAUUAUGUACGGAUAUGCUAAUGGCGCUGAAUUAAUGAGGUUUGUAUCGCUGGGAUUCUCUUCUUUACUCCUGUGGGGAUCUUAAUUUUACCUCAUCUUUAUUAUGUAAAUGGAUUAUGCCAAAAAAAAACAGUACACACACACACAUAUGCACACACUCAUACACUAACACAAAAGGGGCGUCAAAGGAAGAGGGAAUAAGGCAACAGUGAGGGGGGGGGGUACACUCCCGCAGCAGCACCAAAAUGCAAGAAGCUGCAAAGAAAUCUGAAAGGCUCUUUUCCCUUAAUGCAACAUGUACCAAGACGCGAGACAAACAAUUUUUUUUUCUUUUGUAGAUAUUUGUGUUGCAGCAAUCCUGCAAUGGAGUGACAGAGACGAAGAUGGGAUUUACUAGAUGAAAAGAGAGAGAGAAAGAGCGAGUGAAAGUGAGAGAGGGAAUGCUUAAUAUCCUGCGCUUAAUCAUGGCACAUGAGAUUGGCUGUAUGCAUAUCUCAUUUGCAUCUCAUUAAAUUGCUCGUGCACCUGCAGAGAGAGAGGGGAGAGGGGCAGAGGACAGCACAACGAGAAAUGAGGGAGUCGUUUCAAUAAGCAGACUGUUUCUAAAAGAGCUACUUCAUUUUAUGUUAAAUUAUCAGAAUUAUUUUUUUUAACACAUUACACUGUGCACAUUAAAAUGCUGCUUGUGGUAGUAUUUUGAUGAUUCAUUCUGUUUUUUGACUUAAUACCGAUAUUUUCUAUGAAUAUUAAAAAUAUAUAUUGCAUUUGCAUUGCAAAAGUGAAUGAUCUAUGAUGUAUAGAACAUAGUUUUAAUCAUAUAAUGUACUAAGAUAUUCUACGCCAUUGCUCUGUGACAUUGACAUUUUCUGGGAGAAUACAACUGAGAUUUUAAGAUAUUGAUGCAUAAAACAAUCCAUAUGUUUCAGAGGUUGUGAAGUCCAA
Long non-coding RNA from Carassius auratus (goldfish), 2896 nucleotides. RefSeq lists it as uncharacterized. Lineage: Eukaryota; Metazoa; Chordata; Actinopteri; Cypriniformes; Cyprinidae. The transcript has 2 exons. The record is from RefSeq and is a predicted model, not a curated record.